Molecule: long non-coding RNA, 1507 nt
Organism: Penaeus monodon (black tiger shrimp)
Lineage: Eukaryota; Metazoa; Arthropoda; Malacostraca; Decapoda; Penaeidae
Exons: 2
Source: RefSeq, a predicted model, not a curated record
CAGUCUCGGCAUCCUGAACCACCAGCAUGAUACUGUCGACGAUGAUUUUGAUUUGUUUCCCAUGUGUGAAACCGGCGAAGAAAUUCUUGAGGAAGCUAACUCAAUUCUAGAUAUGAAGUUCUUCAGUGUGGAGACAUUGAAAAGCUGACCAAGAAACACAAGAAACACUCUGUGACCAUUGAGGAUACUUAUGACAGCAUCGAGAGGGCACACACUGCAACAGGGCAUGGUGGACGUGACAAUGCAAUCUUGGAGCAAAGUAUGCUAACAUCACAAAAGCUCUUGAAUUAUUCAAGUCCUAUAGCAUCACACGGCAGGAAAAGAGGAAGCGAAAUAAGACUGCCGGGGUUGUUGUGAACCCCCUCUUGAGCAGCGAAGUCAACUCCCGUGGCUAAGGUGACCUUGUGGAUAUGCAGUCAUUGCCUCAGGCUCAGUUCAAGUGGACCAUGGUCUACCGGUGCGACCUCGCCAAGUUUGUUAUACUUAGAGCACUUACAUCAAAGAGAGCUGCUGAAAUUGCCUUUCAACAGCUUGACAUAUUCUUUCUGUUUGGAGCUCCUGCCAUACUGCAUGCAAAGUGACAAUGGUUGUCACUUUGCAUGAAUUCACAGCUAAAAUCAUCUCAAAGGUGAAUGAACUUUGGCCACAACUCAUCAUGGUCCAUGACAUCCACAAAGCCAGGGUUCAGUAGAACAAGCCAAUGGUGACAUCAAGGGCAUAUUGCAUGCAUGGAUAGCAAAAAGACACAGGAUUGGUUUGAUGGCUUUCGUUUUGUUCAUCACCAAAAGAACUCAUAAUUUCGGUAUCAAGCAUACUCCAUUCAAAACAUUGUUUAGCACUGAUCCUAGGGUGGGUCUGGCACCAUCGAGUCUUCCUCAGAGGUCCUUGAAAGAUUACAGUCAGACGAUGACUUGCUCCUCUUACAAAACGCCAGAGUGAGAUAACAGAACAGAGGAAGAGGACCAGGGAGGAACAAGUCUCCUAGGCUGAACAGUGAAACGCAGUCGGAUAGACUUCAAGGCAGGGGAAGAAGGGGGCAAUGUUGUUGUGCCCAUCCCGAUGGUGAAUAGGGUAAGGGGAGACCCACAUAACAUCCUCGGUGUUAUCAUUGGCCGCAGUGACAAUUAUUUGUACAAAAUGGCUGUGAAGAAUGGGAUUCCGAAGACCAAGUACUCCCGCAAUCAGUUUGAUACUUGUCCUCAGAGGCUUCUUACUCUGUCUGAUGUCAGCCAAGAAGACCUGGUUUCCCUACGACGGGCCUGAAGAAAAUAACUACUGGUGGACAAGGAUUUGUCAAAUGUGAUUGUGCUGCAAGUAAGAAGUGUUGUACUGGCAGAUGUAAAUGUUAUAAGGCUAAUCUCAAGCGUAGUAGCCGCUGUCAUAGUAGUACCACAUGUCGAAAGAAGUGAAUGUCAAAUUGUUGUCUAAAAUUUGUUGAUUUCUGUGAUUUGUAUGUAUUUGACUGUACCCGUGUGUGUGUUUCCCCUGAAUAAAGUUUUUCAAUUAG